Molecule: ribosomal RNA, 365 nt
Filed under: uncultured eukaryote
Lineage: Eukaryota
Description: partial 18S ribosomal RNA
Rfam family: Eukaryotic small subunit ribosomal RNA
Source: RNAcentral
CAAUAGCGUAUAUUAACGUUGUUGCAGUUAAAAAGCUCGUAGUUGGAUUUCUGGAGGGAGCGUCGGCCCGUAUUUACGAGUGCGUGACGUCUCUGUCCAUCCUUGCGGGAAGGCACGGCAUUGAUUUGUUGUGUCGGAUCGCAUCAUUUACUGUGAAAAAAUUAGAGUGUUCAAAGCAGGCUUUCGCUUGAAUACAUUAGCAUGGAAUAAUAAGAUAGGACCUUGGUGCUAUUUUGUUGGUUGAGCCUAAAGUAAUGAUUAAUAGGGAUAGUUGGGGGCACCUGUAUUGCGUUGUCAGAGGUGAAAUUCUUGGAUUUACGCAAGACAAACAGCUGCGAAAGCGUCUGCCAAGGAUGUUUUCAUUA